Molecule: ribosomal RNA, 251 nt
Filed under: uncultured bacterium
Lineage: Bacteria
Description: partial 16S ribosomal RNA
Rfam family: Bacterial small subunit ribosomal RNA
Source: RNAcentral
GAUCAUGCUCAGGAUGAACGCUAGCUACAGGCUUAACACAUGCAAGUCGAGGGGCAUCAGGGUGUAGCAAUACACCGCUGGCGACCGGCGCACGGGUGAGUAACACGUAUCCAACCUGCCCUUUACUCGGGGAUAGCCUUUCGAAAGAAAGAUUAAUACCCGAUGGUAUAACAUGACCUCCUGGUUUUGUUAUUAAAGAAUUUCGGUAGAGGAUGGGGAUGCGUUCCAUUAGGCAGUUGGCGGGGUAACAG